UGAGGAAUAUUGCGCAAUGGGCGAAAGCCUGACGCAGCGACGCCGCGUGAAGGAUGAAGGUCUUAGGAUUGUAAACUUCUGUUAAAUGGGAAGAAAGACCUACUAGUAAUAUGAGUAGGGGAUGACGUUACCAUUAAAGAAAGCACCGGCUAACUUCGUGCCAGCAGCCGCGGUAAUACGAAGGGUGCGAGCGUUAUUCGGAAUAACUGGGCGUAAAGGGUGCGUAGACGGUUUAUUAAGUCUGUUGUUAAAGACUUCGGCUCAACCGGGGAACAGCAGCGGAAACUGAUAAACUUGAGGGUGGAAGAGAGAAGUGGAAUUCUCGGAGUAGCGGUAAAAUGCGUAGAUCUCGAGAGGAACACCGAUGGCGAAGGCAGCUUCUUGG
RNAcentral lists this ribosomal RNA (385 nucleotides) under uncultured bacterium. RNAcentral describes it as "bacterial SSU rRNA". It matches the Rfam family "Bacterial small subunit ribosomal RNA", at positions 355 to 732 of the family's 1533-position model. The record is from RNAcentral.